GAUGAACGCUGGCGGCGUGCCUAAUACAUGCAAAUCGAGCGAACGGACGAGAAGCUUGCUUCUCUGAUGUUAGCGGCGGACGGGUGAGUAACACGUGGAUAACCAACCUAUAAGACUGGGAUAACUUCGGGAAACCGGAGCUAAUACCGGAUAAUAUUUUGAACCGCAUGGUUCAAAAGUGAAAGACGGUCUUGCUGUCACUUAUAGAUGGAUCCGCGCUGCAUUAGCUAGUUGGUAAGGUAACGGCUUACCAAGGCAACGAUGCAUAGCCGACCUGAGAGGGUGAUCGGCCACACUGGAACUGAGACACGGUCCAGACUCCUACGGGAGGCAGCAGUAGGGAAUCUUCCGCAAUGGGCGAAAGCCUGACGGAGCAACGCCGCGUGAGUGAUGAAGGUCUUCGGAUCGUAAAACUCUGUUAUUAGGGAAGAACAUAUGUGUAAGUAACUGUGCACAUCUUGACGGUACCUAAUCAGAAAGCCACGGCUAACUACGUG
Molecule: ribosomal RNA, 497 nt
Filed under: uncultured bacterium
Lineage: Bacteria
Description: partial 16S ribosomal RNA
Rfam family: Bacterial small subunit ribosomal RNA
Source: RNAcentral